Cornus florida is the source of this 96-nucleotide small nucleolar RNA. Lineage: Eukaryota; Viridiplantae; Streptophyta; Magnoliopsida; Cornales; Cornaceae. The record is from RefSeq and is a predicted model, not a curated record.
GAUCGGCCGUGAUGAUUGAUUAUAUACAGCUUAAAAUGCCAGUUCUGCUUCUGAAAAUCCUUGAUUGAUAGAGCUGUUAAAUACUCUGAGCUUAUU